CCUAGCCACUACACCCUUCAACAUCUGAACCGCAACACACACUCCUGCCCUAUACCCCAGCUACACAAGUAGGUUCUACACAAACAUGCAAGUGUAUAGGCAGCUAAUAUUGGCAAUAAGAUGUUUUUCUCCAGCAUACUGUACAAUAUGAAUCCAUUAGACCUACGGGUCACCCAGCCACCUAAACUAAACUAUGUGCAGUAAUUUUCUAUGCCCUGUACUAGAUACAACGUGUAUAUUGCCAUCCUUGCUAUUGCUAUUAGGGCAUCGCAGGAAAGUUGGUUAACUCUUAACACUACAAUGGUAUAGGGUUUUUCAAUGGUAUAUGGUUUUUCUCUUUAACUCGGCCGCACUGCAAUAGGCUUUGGUGGGACCGAAUCACAUGGCACACCUACCCUUUCAACCCAAGAGCAGUAUACAGCUCAUACUCCCACUACACCUGCAGUACCUGCAACCACAUAGUAACUUACAAAAACUACAAAUGGAGACCAGGCCACUACGAUAACAAAUGCCCCCCACCCCAGGUUACAUGGUAUUUUAAUCUAUCCAGCAUGUUAUAUGCCACAAGCUCUCCCUUUACUUAUGUUCAACAAAUCAGAAACAGAAUACACUUGCGGCAAGACGAACAUACAUAUCAUUAUUGUUACACCACCUUAUCAUCUAAUACUUGAAUCUUUUUUUACAUAUCACAAUAUACACGCCAUCACUAUUUGCAUGUAUUCUGGACAUACGUUAACUAAAUACAAAAAUGUGCAGUAUAUACGAAAGCCAUGUAAGUGACUUAUGGUGAUUGUCUUUAUCGUGCUUGUCUCAGCUAUCGUGGCGUCUCAAGCCUGUUUGUUACCUUUUGCACGUGAAAAAUAAAGAAUUUAAAAAAAUAAAAUAA
Pelobates cultripes (western spadefoot toad) is the source of this 886-nucleotide non-coding RNA. NCBI's taxonomy places the organism in Eukaryota, Metazoa, Chordata, Amphibia, Anura, Pelobatidae. The record is from the annotation of a GenBank genome assembly.